This 396-nucleotide ribosomal RNA is filed under the name uncultured bacterium. RNAcentral's name for it is "partial 16S ribosomal RNA". It matches the Rfam family "Bacterial small subunit ribosomal RNA", at positions 523 to 918 of the family's 1533-position model. The record is from RNAcentral.
AUACGUAGGGGCGAGCGUUGUCCGGAAUGAUUGGGCGUAAAGGGCGCGUAGGCGGCCCGGUAAGUCUGGAGUGAAAGUCCUGUUUUUAAGAUGGGAAUUGCUUUGGAUACUGUCGGGCUUGAGUGCAGGCGAGGUAAGUGGAAUUCCCAGUGUAGCGGUGAAAUGCGUAGAGAUUGGGAGGAACACCAGUGGCGAAGGCGACUUACUGGACUGUAACUGACGCUGAGGCGCGAAAGUGUGGGGAGCAAACAGGAUUAGAUACCCUGGUAGUCCACACUGUAAACGAUGAAUGCUAGGUGUAGGGGGUAUCGACCCCUUCUGUGCCGCAGUCAACACAAUAAGCAUUCCGCCUGGGGAGUACGGCCGCAAGGUUGAAACUUAAAGGAAUUGACGGGG